ACCAAUGUGAGUGUGGCCGAAUUCGGCCGGAAACGGCCGAAAACGUCCAACCCGAGGCAAACCGCCGCCGCAAGCGGCGUCGCCGUCGCCGGAGCACGGCGGAGCCGCCGUGCCGGAGUUGCGAUUUGGGCCGAAAGGGCCCCUGGGCCUAAUUUGGAUUUUUUUUGGAACACGUGCAGGUACCAGUAGUGCGUUUCAGUUCCCCGAGAAAAAUGCAGGGAAA
RNAcentral lists this long non-coding RNA (223 nucleotides) under Carica papaya (papaya). Its description in RNAcentral is "long non-coding RNA (CPAP_LNC005536)". The record is from RNAcentral. Lineage: Eukaryota; Viridiplantae; Streptophyta; Magnoliopsida; Brassicales; Caricaceae.